Molecule: long non-coding RNA, 221 nt
Filed under: Mytilus galloprovincialis (Mediterranean mussel)
Lineage: Eukaryota; Metazoa; Mollusca; Bivalvia; Mytilida; Mytilidae
Source: RNAcentral
AAACAGCGGUAUACUGUUGCCUUUAUUUUCCCUUUUUUUGUUUUUGCUUUAGGCAAUCCUGACACAUCGUAUUUAAAGGGUGAUAUUUUUAUUCUAAAAAAAACAAAUUGUAUCACAUUGAUAAAAGAAUAUUCCAAACAAAAAUAGGGACUCUUUCUGAAUCACAUGGUAAUGAAAAUCGAACUGAGACCUAUAAAUAUAAUUGUGUUUUAUGUAUUAAA